This is a small nuclear RNA of Nannospalax galili (Upper Galilee mountains blind mole rat), 105 nucleotides long. Lineage: Eukaryota; Metazoa; Chordata; Mammalia; Rodentia; Spalacidae. The record is from Ensembl.
GCUAGUGCUCACCCCAGCAGCAGCAAUUGGAAUGAUACAGAAGUGAAUAUUAGCAUGGUCCUUCACAAGGCUGACACACACAUUCAUGAAGUGUUCUAUAUUUUC